UACGUAGGUGGCGAGCGUUGUCCGGAUUUACUGGGCGUAAAGGGAGCGUAGGCGGACUUUUAAGUGAGAUGUGAAAUACUCGGGCUCAACUUGAGUGCUGCAUUUCAAACUGGAAGUCUAGAGUGCAGGAGAGGAGAAUGGAAUUCCUAGCGUAGCGGUGAAAUGCGUAGAGAUUAGGAAGAACACCAGUGGCGAAGGCGGUUCUCUGGACUGUAACUGACGCUGAGGCUCGAAAGCGUGGGGAGCAAACAGG
RNAcentral lists this ribosomal RNA (253 nucleotides) under uncultured bacterium. RNAcentral's name for it is "partial 16S ribosomal RNA". It matches the Rfam family "Bacterial small subunit ribosomal RNA", at positions 524 to 776 of the family's 1533-position model. The record is from RNAcentral.